This is an RNA transcript of Homalodisca vitripennis (glassy-winged sharpshooter), 2169 nucleotides long. It is a transcript of the gene named TOX high mobility group box family member 4-like, with no coding region annotated. The record is from RefSeq and is a predicted model, not a curated record. NCBI's taxonomy places the organism in Eukaryota, Metazoa, Arthropoda, Insecta, Hemiptera, Cicadellidae. The transcript has 12 exons.
UCCCAGCCGUCGUAGAGUGAACAUCGUACACGGCACACAUCCGAGACGCGCGCGAUAUGAACAGUGAUCGUGUGUGAAGUGGGCAAAGUGGAACUAGCGCUUGGAGUCCUAGCCGUCGAGCAGCUGAUCGGCGCUUGCGACGAUAUGGAAGCCACCUACUGCAUGGGGACAGACGUGGACGUUUGCAGAAUGUUCGACCAAUAUUUAUAUAAGAGGAACGACAACUUGGACUUAUCCUGCUCGGUGUCACAAGGCAUCCACAACAGUUACGGCAUGACAGAUCAGACAUUUCACACUCCUAGUUUCGGCGAUGAAGAUUUUGACAUCCCACCGAUCAACCCCCACCAAAACCACCCCCAAGCCAACAUGGGCUACCACCAACAACCCCCUAUGUCAAUGAGCAUGAGUCAGACGACAGACAGCCUAAGCAUGAGUGACCCUAACGGCUACCACCAACAGAACCACAGCAUGUACCAGGACCACAGCAUGGGCCUCAGUGUCAGCGCCAGCUACAGUAGUCCCCCACCCCCCGGCCAGCCCAACUAUAGCCACUCACAAAUGCAGAUGGUACAGCCCCAGCAUUACAACAUGGGUCCACCAUUCGGGCGGUCCCCACAGGGCCACUCUCCCCCUGGAGCCCCCCAUCCCCACCAUGAGACCACCACCACAAGCGAUGACAGUGAUGACAGCACGCCACACACACAACUAUUAGCUGGUAUGAAGAGACCGUCCCCUGAGCCAGCAGACACCAGCUUAGCAAAGAUACAGAAGAAACCAAAAGCUCAAAAAAAGAAAAAGAAGAGGGAUCCAAAUGAACCACAGAAACCGGUAUCGGCAUAUGCCCUCUUCUUCAGGGACACACAAGCCGCCAUCAAGGGGCAAAACCCCAAUGCGAGCUUUGGAGAGGUCUCCAAGAUUGUUGCGUCAAUGUGGGACGCCCUGGAUACGGAACACAAAAAUGUAUAUAAGAAGAAGACUGAAGCGGCCAAAAAGGAUUAUUUGAAAGCUUUAGCGGCUUAUCGAGCAAGCUUAGUCUCUAAAGGUGCUGGAGAACAGGACAACAUGUACGGAGCUUACGGUGGGUACGGAGGAGGGUACAGUGGGUACUCCCCACCUACUGGGCUCCCUUCCCCGCCCAUGCCUGCCCCCUCCCCUCAGCAGAUGACAACACUCACCAACAUGAAUAAGAAGCCCCACAUGAUGGCUGACAACAGGGCAACCAACCAACAACAGCAACAGCAACACAGUCAGCAGGGCAUGAUGGGUGGCCAUAUGGGACAGCAACAGCAACUACCGCAACAACAACAGCAACCAUCACAACAACCUCAAACAAACAACAUCGGCUCAAACUACAUGCAACAACAGCAGUGGUCUUGGUGUUACAGGGGGGCGGUGGGUCAGAACCCCAGCAGUCAGUGAGCCACCCUCUCAACAACAACAACCACCCUCUACAGUGUAUCCGCCACGGCUGUCCCAAUCCUGCCACCACCAACCCGGAGUGGGAGGACGAGUAUUGCAGUAAUGAGUGUGUCGUCACCCACUGCAGAGACGUGUUCAACUCUUGGGUAGCCUCUAGCCAGAGUGGCCCGUCUGUGACAUAAGGUGUCUGGUGUUGUUCCUCUGUAAAUACCGUACAAAGACUGUGACCCCGCCCAGCCCGGCCCUCCGCCCACUGUUGCAUGUUUUGCCCUUUUUCAAGUGAACGCAUAUUUACAUAUUGUAGGUAGAUUAGUUGUUAGAUAAUUCUCAUCAAUAUAUAAGGCAAGGUAUAAAAUGUUUAUAUUUUAAAAAGUGAUAAGUUAGUAUUUAUGUUUUAUGCUCAUGUUGUUAAUUUAAUUUUCGAGUCUAUGUAUAAACAUUUUGUAAUGAUAGAGAUUUAUCGAGUAUUUUAUGAAUAUCGACGAUUGCAAGUUAGAGAUGUACAAAUUGUUUUAAUACCAGAUCUAGAUUAUACCUGAUGUUGUUUGAUUUUGUAGGGCCACUUAGGUGAUUUUUUAUGUUUUAUAAAGGCGUGUUGCCCUUGUAAUGAUAACUUGGUUACAAAUCAUUCCCUUCAGUUCUGGUGUUAUUUUUUAAAGUGUAAAGUAAUUAAUUAGUAGGUUGUUUUUCCAAAAAUGUACUUGUUGAUAUUUUGAGAAAUCCAUAAACGUUAAAAUUACAAAAACAUUA